UCCAACGAGCCCAAAUUUUGAAAUGGGCUUCUUUUGUAUCCCUGCGAAUCAUGUCCCUCGCUCCAUGAAGCUUUCUUGGCCCCAAAUUUAAUACAGGGACUUUCAAUGUAACGAGUGGACUCCGAGUCUCAAUUUUUCUUGUAUAGAAUUCGGAGGCAUGCUUCAAACAUCUAUUUCGGGCAUCAGAAAGACUUUUCAAAGGCCCAGACACCCAUCAAACUUUUCAAAGGCCCAAUCUUCCCGGAGUCCCAAAUGUGAUGAGGACACCCAGCUGUAAUUUCAUUUUAUCCUUUUUUCCUUUACUUUCAAUUCUCCUUCUUUCCUGUGCGCUCCGUUUUAUACCAAACCAGGUAGAACACGAGCUCAACGCUGAUCUCCCGCGAGGUCGAAUUGGAGAUGGAUUUGAAGACACAAUCUGACUUGAAGGAGUUGAAAUUGGAGGCUGGAAGAGAACACAUGUGGAAGACGAGACCGUGGCCGGCUUUACAGGAGAAGAAAUUUCGACGUCCUGCCGCAAUUGGCUUCUGGGAGAAUUUUUGUAUUCAAGAAGGACCAGGUGAUUAUAGUCACAGUAAUGUCAAAGUCUUGAAGCUUUAUUUUAAGGGUGAGCAUCUUCUUCCAAGUGCCAGUUCUGGUUUCAUCUCGUUGGCAGACAUGAAUUUUAGAGUCUGCUGCAGAACUGUAUUUAUUUUGACAGCCUCUCUCCGUCUCCUUCCUCUGAAUCAUUAGGUCGGGACUGGCUUAUUUUUGGCUAUAGCACGUGUAGUGUUUAAGUGAAAUUGACAGAGUUCCCUUAUUUUUAUCAUCAUUUUUAAUUUGAACCAAGACCUCUUAUGAAAGCAUAGCCUGGAUGAUGAUUCGUGUGAGGUCCUCUGCCAGUCUCGGUGUAUUAAACUGCUGAAACAUGAGGAUAAUAACGGCACCCUAAGGCACGCCGUGUCAAAGUUCUGAAACAGUAUUGGCACCGUGAGGCACCGCCACCGGAGCUUUGAAAGCAGUUUCGGCACCCUAAGGCACGCCGAGUCGAAGUUCUGAAACAGUAUUGGCACCGUGAGGCACCGCCACCGGAGCUUCGAAAGUAGUUUCGGCACCCUAAGGCACGCCGAAUGAAGCUCUGAAACAGUAUUGGCACCGAAAGGCACCGCCACCGGAGCUUUGAAAGUGGUAAAACCAUAAAGAGAUGCAGACGGAUUCUCCACCUUUGAUUCCUGUGGAACAGCUGCGGCUCCUUCUCUGUCUCCUUUGCUUUUCUUCUCCUGCUGCCUCUUUUUUUCCUUUCAUGUAGUGCUUUUAUAUUGCACCGAUCUUGAGUUUGGUUUGUAUAAAACAUAGAGUUUUAGAGUUCAACUUGGAGUGAACUAUUUGGGGAACUUGUAUUCCGUGAAGACUACAACUCUUGUAUUUUGUAAUUGCUUUGUAAUCUAGAUUUUGACAAAACAAGAAGUCUGACGUCUUGUAAAAAUCCAAUAGACCAGCUUAAUGACUCUUGUGCUU
Molecule: long non-coding RNA, 1494 nt
Organism: Rosa rugosa (rugosa rose)
Lineage: Eukaryota; Viridiplantae; Streptophyta; Magnoliopsida; Rosales; Rosaceae
Exons: 2
Source: RefSeq, a predicted model, not a curated record